GGGGGGGGAACAGGGAGGGGGAACAGGAGGAGGGGAGCAGGAGGAGGGGGGGACAGGAGGACGGGGCCUAAGGUCUCCCUGUCCUUGGAGCACCCCACCCACACCCCCGGGCUCACUCACAGCCUCUGCCUGCGGCCCCAGGAAGUGGGAGAGCCUGUCCCCCUCCACCCCCCCACCCCUGGCUGGGUCCCUCCUGAGUCUCGACAUGGGAAGGAGAUCGGGAACCAUCUUCCCAGAGGGACCUCCUGCAUUUCUCUGCCAGGGCCGGGGAUCGCCACUCUCCCCUAAGCUCAGAGUGAAAGGUGGAAAAGGUGGAGAGGGUUGGGGGUCUGGCACUGGGAGAGCCUCCCCCGGCUGGACCAGAUUUCGGGAACCGAGUGGAAAAGGUGAGGAGACCCCAGACCACGCCUUGUCCAGCUAACUCGCCCACGGGGGGGACCCAGUGCCCGGCAGAGGUGCCGGCCCCUAGUCCUGGCCCUGUCAUUAAGGAGCCGUGACCCGCAGCCCAUCACCGCCCUCUGGGUCUCCCCCCCAGGGCCUGGGGCCAGCGCCGUCCUGCUGGGGGCAAAGAGGAGGAGCCCCCGCUAGGGCCAGCGGUCCCAGGCCCGUGCCCCCCCCUCCAGCUGGCGCCACUCACCUCAUCCAUCUUCUCCGAGGCGGGCGUCCGCUCCCCGGCCAUCUCCUUGGCUGUGUCGGCCCCGAGGCCCAGAAGUCCAGCUGGGUCGGGGGGGCCGGGCUCUGGGGGGGGCCGGGGGCCCAGGCCCAGGUCCUCCUCGUCGUCUGAGUCCGGCAGGGGGGUCGGGCUGAUGUCCUCCAGGCCCGUGCUGGAGGGGCGCGAGGAGGGGGUCUGGCCCCGGAAGCCGGGCUGGGAGUUGGAGCCGAAGGUGGGCAGGGGCGAGAGCUGCGAGGAGGAGGAGGAGAUGGGGCUGCCCUCCAUGCGGAGCUCAGUGUCCGAGUCAUGUUCUCGCAGGAAAGGGAGCUUGGUUCUCUGCUCCUUCAGUAACAUCUCGAUGCGGGGAGUCCACGUGGGGGGCUUCGGAGGCGGGGGGAGGCCUCCCAGCGUGGGGCCCCGGGGCUGUUCGCCUGGGCCCAGGGCUCCCCGCCGGGCUCCAGGCUUCAGCCGGGGGGCCGGGGGGGCCGGUCCCGGGGGUCCGGGCCUCUCCUUGGGCCGGGGGGACCGGGGGGGGGUGGGCCCUAGUCCCCGGCAUCUCGGGCCCCCUGGGCAAAGGC
This 1230-nucleotide long non-coding RNA is filed under the name Sarcophilus harrisii (Tasmanian devil). RNAcentral describes it as "lncRNA (ENSSHAG00000021193.1)". Lineage: Eukaryota; Metazoa; Chordata; Mammalia; Dasyuromorphia; Dasyuridae. The record is from RNAcentral.